RNAcentral lists this ribosomal RNA (239 nucleotides) under uncultured Lactobacillus sp. RNAcentral describes it as "partial 16S ribosomal RNA". It matches the Rfam family "Bacterial small subunit ribosomal RNA", at positions 122 to 354 of the family's 1533-position model. Lineage: Bacteria; Bacillati; Bacillota; Bacilli; Lactobacillales; Lactobacillaceae. The record is from RNAcentral.
UAACCUGCCCAAGAGAUCGGGAUAACACCUGGAAACAGAUGCUAAUACCGGAUAACAACAGAUGAUGCCUAUCAACUGUUUAAAAGAUGGUUCUGCUAUCACUCUUGGAUGGACCUGCGGUGCAUUAGCUAGUUGGUAGGGUAACGGCCUACCAAGGCGAUGAUGCAUAGCCGAGUUGAGAGACUGAUCGGCCACAUUGGGACUGAGACACGGCCAAACUCCUACGGGAGGCAGCAGGC